This 1301-nucleotide long non-coding RNA is filed under the name Taeniopygia guttata (zebra finch). RNAcentral describes it as "lncRNA (ENSTGUG00000027386.1)". The record is from RNAcentral. Lineage: Eukaryota; Metazoa; Chordata; Aves; Passeriformes; Estrildidae.
CAGAGCAAACCAUUCAGGAAAUAAGAAGGUCCUCACUGUACAGAAACAUGGAAGGGUCACAUUAGAGCCUAUGUGUUUUUUUUUUUUUUUUUUUUUUUUUUUUUUUUUUUUUAAGAAAUCCCUCUGUUUUAAAAAUACAGAAAUACAAACAGAAAGAAAAGUUCAGUUUCUCUGCUCUAAAAGAAAGGCCAGCUUAAGCUAGCAGGGAAGGUGAAGCACAUUGCUGUGUCUGGAACUGCCUGACAUUGCACUGGCCCAUUAUGGGAGCUUAUAGCAGUCACCAGAGGUAAACUCUGCUUUGGAAAGAAAUGUUUCUCAGCAGGAAUGCACUUCUAGGAUCUCUUCCUACUCCAGCUGCUACAAUCCAGUGCCUGUGAGCUACCUGCUGAGCCAAGCCAGGAGAGAGCAAGUCCCUGGUGUGGUGCAUCAUCUACAUCUCUAUGAUGAGCUUUCCAGGUGACAAGCCUGCCUGACAGCUUACUGUGACCAGCUAACCACCAUGCUAACAAAGCACUGCUGACGCUGCAGAUCCCGCAGGGAAAGAUGGUGAAAGCAUAGCCCAGACCUGCUCCCACAAUCAAGUCAAACAUGAGUAUGGAAGAAGAGCUUGUGCCUGAUUUUGAAUGCCUGCUGAGAAAGAGAUCUGCACAUGGAAGUUGGAAAAGACUUGGUCUGAUCUCAAAGAUGGAGAUGAGAUACUUCUCCUGGAAUGACAAGGAAGUUUUCUUACCACAGCCAACACAAUUGAGCUGAGAGAGGUGUCCCAGCAGAAGUAAUUCUGCCUGGAAACUAUCUGGCCAAAGCUUUUGACCUAGUUCAGAAACAUAAGACAAAACAGCACAGGGAAAUUCAAGGGAGGUGUGAAGAAAUGAGCCAUAAGAUGCCAGCUCAAGGAAAGAAGGGAACAGACACAGAGAUCACAUCUUGUGUUGGGGCUUCUUAGCUGCAGAAUGGCAGAAUCACCUUUAUUUUUCUACUGGGACAUAUACAGAGAAACCAGAGAUAUUAAAGAGACUGAUGUCUUUGAAUAUUGUGUCUGACAGCACAGUACAAGAAUAAGAAGCCCGGGGAAGACUGCACCAUGAAUUUGCAGGCCCAGUGCUGCAUGGAGCCCACAGAGCUGUGCAGAGCUCUAAUAAAUAACAAGCUGGAGACAAAGGCAGCUAGGAACUUAGAAAACCCAUACCAUGAUCCUGUCUCCUGUGACCCACUAUUUAAUAAAAUUAAUAUUUAACUUUGUGGUUUCAUGUAGAUAACUAACAUGAUAGAUUCAGUUCUACAGAGCUCUACUAUACUGUCUU